Molecule: ribosomal RNA, 398 nt
Filed under: uncultured bacterium
Lineage: Bacteria
Description: bacterial SSU rRNA
Rfam family: Bacterial small subunit ribosomal RNA
Source: RNAcentral
GAUAUUGGUCAAUGGGGGCAACCCUGAACCAGCGACGCCGCGUGGGUGAUGAAGGUCUUCGGAUCGUAAAACCCUUUUCAAGGUGACGAGACAAGGACGGUAGCCUUGGAAGAAGUCUCGGCUAACUACGUGCCAGCAGCCGCGGUAAAACGUAGGAGGCAAGCGUUAUCCGGAGUUACUGGGCGUAAAGCGCAUGUAGGCGGUUGGGCAAGUGGCGUGUGAAAGCUCCCGGCUAAACUGGGAGACGACAGGUCAGACUGCCGAACUGGAGUCCGAUAGAGGAGCGUAGAAUUCCGGGUGUAACGGUGAAAUGUGUAGAGAUCCGGAGGAAUACCAGUGGCGCAAGCGGCGCUCUGGGUCGGGACUGACGCUGAGAUGCGAAAGCGUGGGGAGCGAAC